CAGUGUAUGCUGAUUUACUGCAGUCGUUCUGACUUCUUGUUAUGACAGUGAGGCCUCAUCUUCACUGAAGGAAAUUGGGGUGUCAUAGACUGCGUUCCCGUACUUAGAUCGAUAUACCAGUUGAUGAUCGAGUUCUGCACUUUCCCGAGCCAGGUAGCACCCUAUCAUGGUCACUAUUUCACACAAGUACCCCUGAUUUAAACGCCUUCACAGCCUGCGUAUGGGUCAAAACCAUCCGCACCACAAGCGGCCCCAUUCUAUCCUACGGCUCAGAGAGUUGUCGCCAGUGUAUUGAACUUGGAUACAGCCCCGUUGGUCACGGCUACUCGGUUGUUUUGAAAGGCGAUAAUGUACUGAAUAGAUCCUCUCGUGCCGAAGCGCCCCUACCGGCCGAUGGGAACUGGCACCACUGGUGUGUGGUGUGGAGUGGUGCCAAGAAAGAGGUUAAUGUCUACAGGGAUGGUCUCCACGCGCUGAGUCAACAUGUUAAAGUUUCACGUAUACCUGGAGGUGGUAAAUGGGUUGUUGGACACACUCAGUGUGAGGCAAGUCCUGAUACUCUUCCUAAACAUCCAUCAUUUGUGGGAUUCGUCGGCGGCGUCAACGUCUGGAACCAUGAUAAAGUCGACAUCCCCGGCCUGGCAAUAUGUGCCAAUACUAACGAGGGAAGUCUCAUAUCCUGGGAUACUGUCACCAAGACCAACUACAAGGUCGCCACAUAUGAGGAACAUUGUUAAAAUGUUACCACUACAUUUACUUUUCUGUUAUAUGCCAUUGGUCUAUAUCCUUUAUGGAUCGCCAUUAAAGUAUCAACACCUCUUCCUUUUGCUUUGGGAUUGUACUUUUAGAUUGGAAUGAACAAUAUUUUUCAGAAACAAAAUACCAAGUUAAUAAAGAUUUGCCGAAAGCAACCAUAUGGAUUCGAUGUGAAUGUG
Molecule: long non-coding RNA, 935 nt
Organism: Lingula anatina
Lineage: Eukaryota; Metazoa; Brachiopoda; Lingulata; Lingulida; Lingulidae
Source: RefSeq, a predicted model, not a curated record